AUGGCGGGCUCGGAGCGCGGCCUCCGCGGGCUCGGCCCGGCGGGCUCCGACAGCGGCGCGGGCUGUCCGUGGCACGGGGCCGGGCUGCGCCGCUCGUCCUCCCGCUGGUCCGGGGUGCGCUGCACCGAGCGGCCCGGCCGGGUCACGGCCCGCGGGCUCGGCCUGCCCCCCGCGCCCCCCGCGCCCCCCGAGCCCCCCGCGCCCCGGGCCGAGGCGGAGGACGAGGAGAGAGUGCCGCUGGCGGAGAUCUCACUGAUGAACAAGCUGAUCCACACAUCCCUGGUGGAGUCCCAGGAGCAUGUGGAGAUCCUGCAGCGGGACCCCAGCUCCCCACUCUUUUCCAUCAAGACCUUUGAGGAGCUGCCCCUGAAGAAGGAGCUCUUGCAGGGGGUUUAUAUGAUGGGCUUCAACAGACCAUCCAAAAUCCAGGAGCAGGCUCUGCCCCUCAUGCUGGCAUACCCGCCCCAAAAUCUGAUUGCCCAGAGCCAGUCAGGGACAGGGAAAACAGCAGCUUUUGUCUUGGCCAUGUUGAGCAGAGCCAGUGCCAACGAGAAAUAUCCACAGUGCCUGUGCCUGGCUCCCACCUACGAGCUGGCGCUGCAGAUCGGGCAGGUGGUGAGGACCAUUGGCAAGUUCUGCACUGACAUCAAGGUGAACUAUGCUGUCCGGGGAAACCGAGUUCUGAAGGGCACAGUGCUGGAGGAGCAGAUCAUCAUCGGAACUCCGGGCACCACACUGGACUGGUGCUUCAAGCAGCGCAUCCUGGACCUGACAAAGAUCUCCCUGUUCGUGCUGGAUGAGGCCGACAUCAUGAUCGACACGCAGGGCCUCUCCUGCCAGAGCAUCCGCAUCCACAGGGCUCUUCCCGAGAGCUGCCAGGUGCUGCUGUUCUCAGCCACUUACAAGGAACCCGUGCGGGCCUUUGCGGAGCGGAUCAUCCCCGACCCCAUUGUGAUCAAGCUGCGCGAGGAGGAGCUCACCCUGAGCAACAUCAGGCAGUACUUCAUGGUGUGCGAGAGCUCUGAUGAGCAGUACAGGGCCCUCUGCAACCUCUACGGCAGCUUCACCAUCGGCCAGGUCAUGAUCUUCUGCCAGGUAAGGCCCCUGCCCGGGAGAGCCCUGCACGGCCCCUCUCCUGUUGGGAAUAGCAGGAAUGGGUCAUUUUACAGUGUGGGCACAGUGGGCUUCUCCCAAGACCCCCAAAACAAAGGAGCAGACCCCAGGGGAGUGUUGAAAACUGCCAUGAGCUCCCUCACAAGGAGCAGGGCACUCUGGAGGGGGAUCUGUUGGCUCAGCCUCUCCCCGCGUGUGCAGACCCGGAGGCUGGCAGACUGGCUGUCGGGGAAGAUGAGCUGGGACGGGCACCAGGUGGCCAUUCUGACAGCAGAGCUGACCGUGGUGCAGCGGGCCAGCGUCAUCCAGCGCUUCCGUGAGGGCAAGGAGAAGGUCCUGAUCGCCACCAACGUCUGUGCCAGAGGCAUCGAUGUGCAGCAGGUCACCACCGUGGUGAACUUCGGCCUCCCCAUGGAUCAGGAUGGCGAGCCGGAUUUUGAGACCUACCUGCACCGCAUCGGGAGGGCGGGGCGCUUCGGGCACCGCGGCAUCGCCUUCAGCGUGGUGCAGAGGGGCGCCGUGGGGCUCGUGCACAAGAUAGAGCAGUAUUUCCCCUCAGAGCCACUCAGCCCUCUUGGUUCCUUUGAAUGUCCACCUGUCCUUGGAACCUGGAGUAAGCCUGAGGCAGACACCAGGCAGAGAAGACACGAGCCACACGUUCUGGCAAAGAUUGUUGCCAUGGAGUAGAAGCAAUGAGCAGCUGGAACAACUGGCAUGUGGAUGAACCCCACCACAGCCAUGGCCAGAAGGAGCCAGUAGACCACGAUCAAGCAGCUGGAUCCACACGACAUGGACGAGCUGGAGAAGCUUGCAGCUGAGUGAGGAGCAGGGAUUCGUUCUGCUAAAUCCAAGUUCUAGUUCUAAACAGGAGGAAAAGUUACAGGGGAAAACUUCCCGGUUCUCUUAUAUCCUCCUGAAGCUGUUGAGUUUUGUUGUGUUGCCUGAGGAGAGGCUGGAGCGAACCUUGUCUCGCUAGAUGGCAGCAGGAAUCCACCGCUGCCUCCCAGAUCCCGGGGCAAUCCCCAAGUGUUUGGGGUCCUGGCAGUGCAGGAGAGAGUUUGGAGCCCCGGGGCUCUGAAAUCCAAGCGUGGGGAUGCCAUCAGUAGGGGAGAGAAGUUGGACCCCAGGGGCCUGAAAUCCAAGUGUUUGGGGUCCCAGCAGUGAGGACAGAAGUCAGACUCCAGGGUCUGGGCUGCGUUUGUGCCCUUGUUAAUCUUUAAUAAAUGGAACUGUUUUUAA
RNA transcript from Prinia subflava (tawny-flanked prinia), 2352 nucleotides. It is a transcript of the gene named DEAD-box helicase 25, with no coding region annotated. The record is from RefSeq and is a predicted model, not a curated record. The transcript is spliced from 10 exons. Lineage: Eukaryota; Metazoa; Chordata; Aves; Passeriformes; Cisticolidae.